UGAGGAAUCUUGCGCAAUGGGGGCAACCCUGACGCAGCAACGCCGCGUGAGUGAGGAAGGUCUUCGGAUCGUAAAGCUCUGUCAGAUGGAAAGAACCGCAUGGGGGUGAAUAGCCCCUUUGUCUGACGGUACCAUCAAAGGAAGCACCGGCUAACUCCGUGCCAGCAGCCGCGGUAAUACGGGGGGUGCAAGCGUGGUUCGGAAUUAUUGGGCGUAAAGAGCGUGUAGGCGGCCUGAUGUGUCAGAUGUGAAAUCCCUGAGCUCAACUCAGGAAGUGCAUUUGAAACUGUCAGGCUCGAGUAGGGGAGAGGGAAGUGGAAUUCCUGGUGUAGAGGUGAAAUUCGUAGAUAUCAGGAGGAACACCGGUGGCGAAGGCGACUUCCUGGCCCUAUACUGACGCUGAGACGCGAGAGCGUGGGUAGCAAACA
RNAcentral lists this ribosomal RNA (428 nucleotides) under uncultured prokaryote. RNAcentral's name for it is "bacterial SSU rRNA". It matches the Rfam family "Bacterial small subunit ribosomal RNA", at positions 355 to 774 of the family's 1533-position model. The record is from RNAcentral.